This 467-nucleotide ribosomal RNA is filed under the name Rhodotorula mucilaginosa. RNAcentral describes it as "eukaryotic LSU rRNA". It matches the Rfam family "Eukaryotic large subunit ribosomal RNA", at positions 165 to 648 of the family's 3401-position model. Lineage: Eukaryota; Fungi; Basidiomycota; Microbotryomycetes; Sporidiobolales; Sporidiobolaceae. The record is from RNAcentral.
CCGCGUUGGACCGCACACAAGUCUGUUGGAAUACAGCGGCAUAGUGGUGAGACCCCCGUAUAUGGUGCGGACGCCCAGCGCUUUGUGAUACAUUUUCGAAGAGUCGAGUUGUUUGGGAAUGCAGCUCAAAUUGGGUGGUAAAUUCCAUCUAAAGCUAAAUAUUGGCGAGAGACCGAUAGCGAACAAGUACCGUGAGGGAAAGAUGAAAAGCACUUUGGAAAGAGAGUUAACAGUACGUGAAAUUGUUGGAAGGGAAACGCUUGAAGUCAGACUUGCUUGCCGAGCAAUCGGUUUGCAGGCCAGCAUCAGUUUUCCGGGAUGGAUAAUGGUAGAGAGAAGGUAGCAGUUUCGGCUGUGUUAUAGCUCUCUGCUGGAUACAUCUUGGGGGACUGAGGAACGCAGUGUGCCUUUGGCGGGGGUUUCGACCUCUUCACACUUAGGAUGCUGGUGGAAUGGCUUUAAACGAC